UGGCACCACCUCGCUCAGCUGUACUGUGUUAGCUCUGUGGGGUUUAGGGACACCUGUCAGGUCAGGAUCCACUAGCCCAGCAUUAACUCAUUUGUAAUCCCAGCCCAGGGCCAAGGUUUAAAAGAGGCAUGGAGCAGUUCAGUGCUUUUGGCUUUACCUGCUGGGUGGUGGAGGUUCAGUGCUGGUGAGACUUUACUGGCAGGUCAAGCAGAUAAGGCUGCUCUCAACCCUCAUCCCUUCAAGAUCAGAUGAAGAGUAUGGUUCCCUUUGCUUCCUCUCCUAACAGCACGGCUGCAGAAUGGCUUCAAGCUUCCCUUUCUGCACAAGAGGGGGCAGAGCUGCACAGUGGUGACAGCUGGCUGGAAUUAAAUUUCUCACUAGAGGUGAGCAAUGCUAAUGAACAUGUCAAGAACCCCCUGUGAGUGGACAGCAAGCUCAAACCUGAGAUGAUGCUAUCAAAAUGACUCUCCCAACGUGUGUCUCGAUGGAGGAGUUGCUGUGGCUUCUAAGCUCAGCCUGAAUAAGGUUAAGCUACCUGUGAGCCCUGUGCUGCAGGAACGCAGCUCAUCCUUGCCCUCAGCACCAGCUCUGAGGGCUCUACCACAAGAAGCAAUAGUGGACAACUAAAUAUGAAGAAGGUUUUCCCAGCGGUGACAGCAGAAGGGAAUCGAGGAGGCAAUUCUCCAUUUCAGAAUGCCACAAGGCUUGGCAACCCCAGUUUUGGAAGAAUACCCUGGAAUUGACAACGCCACCACGUCAUGCCCUUGCUUUCCGAGAGAUCAUGGUGGAUCGGUGGCUCUGCAGUGAUUCAGAAGGAACACCGCCAUCUAGUGCGCUUUGAACACAGCACUCCUGUACCACUGAAAGCAACGGGAUGUGGGGCUGUGCGUGCAGAGGCUGGAGGCACUGAUCGAUAGCAGGAGGCAUUGUGUUCUUGGUGUGUGAAGAAAAGCUGAUUUAACUCACUGGUGAUCUAAUUAUGAUGUGGGGGUGAGGGGAAAGAACAAAAUCAGAUGCUACUUCUAACUUAUCUUGCAUUAGCAAUCCUUUAGCUGGAAUCUGUGGGUGAUCUACAAAGCCUGCUUCCACAAGCUCUGUGAAAGGAAGUUUGUGUGCUGCCUUAGUGAUGUCUGAUCCUUACCUGCAGUGAAUAACCUGCCAGGAUGGGGGCAUCCUCCCCUACCUUGUGUGCCCACUUGCCCCAAAGCUGUUCCCCAGCAAGAGAGUGACAGCUCUAAGGACUCCUCUUGUCUGAAAAGCUGGAAUAAAUUGCAUGGACCUCUUAAAGAGAAAACCUGAAGGGCUGUAUCCAAACAAUUUAUGGAUUAGAAAGCCUCUGCAGAUUUCUCCUUGUUCAGGACCAGCUACCUCUCAUCCUAGCACGUUAUGUUGCAGGAUGGCAAAAUCCUGCCUGUCCUGGGGCAGCUGCAUGGAGCUCUGCAUUGUGUGGCUUUUUGGGGGGUGUCUCUGAUGGGGAAUGAGGUCACAGGCUGCCAGAGGUGAUCCUCAACAAGGAGUCAAGCAGGCUCAUCUUAUCAGACACAUUACAGGUAGUCCCCUGCUCCAUUUCCUUAGUGCCAGGUGAAAUAAUGUUCUGUGCAGCUACAGGGAUGGCUUAGUCUUCCAGUGGUAGGGUUUUUUGUAAUGUGCCCAGCUCAUCUGACCUGUCAGGAGACAGUUCCCUUGCUCAAGGAAGGAAAAUGUGACAGUUUUUUGCUCUCCAGCCUCUCCCAUGUAGGAAGGAGUGAUCUCUCCCUCCCCAUCCUGCCUCUGAAGUAGGUGAAAGUUCUUCCAUGGAGGAUCGUGACCCUUAUGGAGGUUGUAGGAGGAUUCAAAGAGAACCAGUGUUUAUGCUAGCCUUGAAAUGGCUAAUUAGUUUUAAUUCUUGGCAGCAGCUCAGAAACUACAGCUGUUUCUCAUGUUCCUGCCCUGCAGCAGUGAAGCUGUUGCCUGCAGUCGGGGUAGCUAGCUGUUCCUUCCUGGUGCAAAUGUCUUCAGCCAGUUCUUACACAGCCAUGGAGAGGGCUGAGGGUCACUUUUUUUUUCUUAAAAUGAAAGGAAGAUGUGUUCAAAACAGCUGCAUUUGUGUGUGGGCAAGGAGGGAAGCUAUGAAAAGACCUAGGUCAAGCAAUAGAUUCCUCACUUCCCCAUUGCUCUUGGUUAGUGAAGCGUUGCUGCAGAGCUGGGUUUCUGUUGGCGAUCCCUCCCAAACCAUUAGAUCACCUUCCUGACUUGGUCUUCUGACUCAGGUAUAGCUACUGGAUGUCAGUGUAAGCUUUCAGACUUUUUUUUUUGUGCCAGGAAGUGCACCCAAUUUGUCCCACAGCAGGUCACUCAACAACGUGUGAGCACGCUGUGUGGAUUGCUUACAUCCUGACCAGGCUGGUGGCUCUGCUCCUAGUCACAGCAGAAGUAUGUGCUUACUUAGCAACAAGCAGCUGAUGAAUUAAUCUGAUCCCUCCACUAGAUGGGAUGGCAGCACCAUAAUUUCGAAGCACUUAUGGUUAAAAUGUGAAGUUCCAGCACAGCCUGCUCAGUGUGACGGGUUCCCGUGCCAGACACCACUAGCCAGGGGCUAUGAAAGGUGAAAGCACUUACUUCCAGAUCCUCCCCAUCAGAAAGGGCACAAAAAAGGAAAUGAUUCAGCGCCCCAGAGCCAUGAUACACAGAUGACUGGGGCUGACAUCAUCCAGCAGUCAGGCAACACGGUGCCCCUGCAACCCUGGAGGUCAUAUCCUAAUGUGAAUGUAAGUGAGGCAGUGAGCAGAGGCUGAGAGCUGUCACUUCUGCCUUGUCACUAUACGCAGCGUGUGCUGUUAGCUGUCCAGAGAAUGGAGAUGAGCUUGUUCUGGGAAGUGGUAAGAGCUAACACUUACAGGUCUCUAGCUUUAAUACUCUGUGCAAUCUUAUUCCAUUAUUGCCAGUAUGGUAAUGUUCACCCUGCCCAUAAUUGCAGUUCUCAUUGUUUAUCCCAGAGUAAUGCUAGCAAAUAGCAUAUGACUUAACAGCUCUAUUCUUCUUGCUUCGUGCUCUUAACUGUGGGCAGAAGUUUCAAAUAUUACUGCUUUCUGAUAGAAAAAGAUGCAAAGAGCAAGUUGUCCAGGGACUCCCAGCAAGUUGACAGCACAACAGAGCAGUACCUGUAUAUUACUGAUUCCCAGCCUCCUGAACAAUAUGAUCAGGGCCCUUCAUUACAUUAAACUCCCCAGGAAGCCAGACAGACCCUUUAGAAAACAUCUUGGGUUCUUAUCUUGAUGGUGCAGUAGACUAGACAUUGAUUGUCUUGAAUCUAAUUUUUAAGGUACAUUUUUAAUGAAAUGUGAAAAUCAAGUCUUGUUUAUAAAAAUAUAAUACAGAACUUAGUGCUCAAUAUUUUAAUCUUUUUACUUUUGAUUUUCAGAAUGACAAACAUCUUUGCCCUGACACCACUUAAAAGGGUUCAUGUAUUGUCCAUCUAAACUGGAUGGUUGAGUCGAAGGCAACAGGAGUUUGUGGGACUGGGGAAGGUGUGAGGAUUAAGUGAGGUUUCUGGUGGUACAAGCAUGAGUUGGUUAACAGUGAAGUGAUUGUAUGCUUUGUAAUUUAAUGCCUAGCAUGUUCCAGAGUUAAUGUCCCCUGGAGAGGAACUGAAUAUUUGUAAUUCCCCCCAGUCUAAAGCCUCAGAGGCCACAGAAGCAGUCAGGCCAAUGCUGCAUCAGGUACAUUCAGCUGAUGCUUUCAGUGCCUCCCUGGUAACCCCAAGGACUUGCAUUCUCAAGCAUGGUUUCAUGGCAAAAUAAAAAUGUUAUUCCCAGAGAAUCAGGGAAAACUGUGGGCCCUCUGUCACAUCUACUUUGAGCUAAGGGCCUCUCGACUUUAUAGUGGUACAGCUUUGAAUUUCAGUUGUUAUUCAU
Non-coding RNA from Anas platyrhynchos (mallard), 3893 nucleotides. The record is from RefSeq and is a predicted model, not a curated record. NCBI's taxonomy places the organism in Eukaryota, Metazoa, Chordata, Aves, Anseriformes, Anatidae.